CAGCCGCCACGGUAAGACAGAGGAUGCAAGCGUUAUCCGGAAUGAUUGGGCGUAAAGCGUGCGUAGGUGGUGGUUUAAGUCUGCUGUGAAAGCCCUGGGCUCAACCUGGGAAUUGCAGUGGAUACUGGAUCACUAGAGUGUGGUAGAGGGAUGCGGAAUUUCUGGUGUAGCAGUGAAAUGCGUAGAGAUCAGAAGGAACAUCCGUGGCGAAGGCGGCAUCCUGGGCCAACACUGACACUGAGGCACGAAAGCGUGGGGAGCAAACAGGAUUAGAUACCCCCGUAGUCCCUGUCUCUUAUAA
This 301-nucleotide ribosomal RNA is filed under the name uncultured bacterium. RNAcentral's name for it is "partial 16S ribosomal RNA". It matches the Rfam family "Bacterial small subunit ribosomal RNA", at positions 509 to 809 of the family's 1533-position model. The record is from RNAcentral.